This 72-nucleotide transfer RNA is filed under the name Ipomoea nil (Japanese morning glory). It matches the Rfam family "tRNA". From Rfam's summary of the family: Transfer RNA (tRNA) molecules are approximately 80 nucleotides in length. The record is from Rfam by way of RNAcentral. Lineage: Eukaryota; Viridiplantae; Streptophyta; Magnoliopsida; Solanales; Convolvulaceae.
GUGUUUGUAGUCCAAUGGUUAGGCUAAUUGCUUUCCAAGCAAUAGUCCCGGGUUGAACUCCCGAAAAACGCA